GACGAACGCUGGCGGCGUGCCUAAUACAUGCAAGUUGAGCGCUGAAGGUUGGUACUUGUACCAACUGGAUGAGCAGCGAACGGGUGAGUAACGCGUGGGGAAUCUGCCUUUGAGCGGGGGACAACAUUUGGAAACGAAUGCUAAUACCGCAUAAAAACUUUAAACACAAGUUUUAAGUUUGAAAGAUGCAAUUGCAUCACUCAAAGAUGAUCCCGCGUUGUAUUAGCUAGUUGGUGAGGUAAAGGCUCACCAAGGCGAUGAUACAUAGCCGACCUGAGAGGGUGAUCGGCCACAUUGGGACUGAGACACGGCCCAAACUCCUACGGGAGGCAGCAGUAGGGAAUCUUCGGCAAUGGACGAAAGUCUGGCCGAGCAACGCCGCGUGAGGGAAGAAGGGUUUCGGAUCGUAAAACUCUGUUGGUAGAGAAGAACGUUGGUGAGAGUGGAAAGCUCAUCAAGUGACGGUAACUACCCAGAAAGGGACGGCUAACUACGUG
This 497-nucleotide ribosomal RNA is filed under the name uncultured bacterium. RNAcentral's name for it is "partial 16S ribosomal RNA". It matches the Rfam family "Bacterial small subunit ribosomal RNA", at positions 28 to 507 of the family's 1533-position model. The record is from RNAcentral.